AUAAUCUCAAAUUUGACAGCAGAUUACGUAUGUAUACGUCUUUUGGUAUGACAUAAUAUAGCCUUCUUCAUUUAUCAGCUGUGGGUAUAAAGUAUAAUAAAUAAUAACCUCCAGCAAUAGUUACUAUUCGAAAGGUAGGAUUUGAUCUUCAAAGACUUACUCAAUAAACUUAACUUGUACAGUUUAUUGUAUAUAAAGUUAAUGGAUUCAAACAAGCGAAGUUUCGAUAUUACCAGAAAAUGUUCAUCUAUAUUCUUGGCACCUCCAAAGAAAGCUGAAAAGUAAAAAUUUCAAUUGAUUGAGUUCCAUAUUAUUGUUAAAUAUGAGUUGAAAACCCAAUACUCAUAGAUGGAUUAAGCUUACAUAUAUUUUUAUAUAGUGAUUUUACUUCAUUUGAUUUAACAUUUUCCUCAAUUAGCCACCUUCAUAAUGUUUCACUGGAUACAAUUUUUCAUAUGGAAUUGUUUGGUAUGUAAAUUAAUUCUAGCUAGGUAUAUUAGAUGCACAAUAGAUCUUUAUGUCAAGGUGCAUGCUUGAUCGGAUAAUCUUUCGCUCCUCCUCUAAUCUAGGGAAAUUAGAAGUUUCGAAAUAGUAUAUUAUUUCAUAAGGAGGAGAAGCGUCAUCUAAGAUGGUAAGACUGUCUUAAAGCCGUGAAAAGUCACUU
This is a long non-coding RNA of Harmonia axyridis, 664 nucleotides long. RefSeq lists it as uncharacterized. The record is from RefSeq and is a predicted model, not a curated record. Lineage: Eukaryota; Metazoa; Arthropoda; Insecta; Coleoptera; Coccinellidae. The transcript is spliced from 2 exons.